RNAcentral lists this unclassified non-coding RNA (159 nucleotides) under uncultured Ascomycota. Its description in RNAcentral is "sequence contains ITS1". The record is from RNAcentral. Lineage: Eukaryota; Fungi; Ascomycota.
CAAAAUACCUGCGCCGACCCCUCGGGGUUGUGCGCUUCUAUUUACACCCUUUGCCUAUGUGUACCCUUAUCGCUUCCUCGGCAGGCUCGCCUGCCGCCAGGAACCACCUAAACCCUUGCAUCUAUACAUGAAAACUUCUGAUACCAACCUAAAUUAUUA